RNAcentral lists this unclassified non-coding RNA (329 nucleotides) under soil metagenome. RNAcentral describes it as "partial contains 5.8S ribosomal RNA, internal transcribed spacer 2, and large subunit ribosomal RNA". The stretch from base 1 to 120 matches the Rfam family "5.8S ribosomal RNA", at positions 35 to 154 of the family's 154-position model. The record is from RNAcentral.
GAUGAAGAACGCAGCGAAAUGCGAUAAGUAAUGUGAAUUGCAGAAUUCAGUGAAUCAUCGAAUCUUUGAACGCACAUUGCGCCCUCUGGUAUUCCGGGGGGCAUGCCUGUUCGAGCGUCAUUAUAACCACUCAAGCUCUCGCUUGGUAUUGGAGUUCGCGAUCUCGCGGCUCCUAAAAUCAGUGGCGGUGCCUGUCGGCUCUACGCGUAGUAAUACUCCUCGCGAUUGAGUCCGGUAGGUUUACUUGCCAGCAACCCCCAAUUUUUACAGGUUGACCUCGGAUCAGGUAGGGAUACCCGCUGAACUUAAGCAUUUCAAUAAGCGGAGGA